AGACCCGAAACCCGGUGAUCUAGCCAUGGGCAGGUUGAAGGUUGGGUAACACUAACUGGAGGACCGAACCGACUAAUGUUGAAAAAUUAGCGGAUGACCUGUGGCUGGGGGUGAAAGGCCAAUCAAACCGGGAGAUAGCUGGUUCUCCCCGAAAGCUAUUUAGGUAGCGCCUCGUGAAUUCAUCUCCGGGGGUAGAGCACUGUUUCGGCUAGGGGGCCAUCCCGGCUUACCAACCCGAUGCAAACUGCGAAUACCGGAGAAUGUUAUCACGGGAGACACACGGCGGGUGCUAACGUCCGUCGUGAAGAGGGAAACAACCCAGACCGCCAGCUAAGGUCCCAAAGUCAUGGUUAAGUGGGAAACGAUGUGGGAAGGCCCAGACAGCCAGGAUGUUGGCUUAGAAGCAGCCAUCAUUUAAAGAAAGCGUAAUAGCUCACUGGUCGAGUCGGCCUGCGCGGAAGAUGUAACGGGGCUAAACCAUGCACCGAAGCUGCGGCAGCGACACUCAGGUGUUGUUGGGUAGGGGAGCGUU
RNAcentral lists this ribosomal RNA (532 nucleotides) under Salmonella enterica subsp. enterica serovar Infantis. Its description in RNAcentral is "partial 23S ribosomal RNA". It matches the Rfam family "Bacterial large subunit ribosomal RNA", at positions 711 to 1240 of the family's 2925-position model. The record is from RNAcentral. RNAcentral also lists the same sequence under 5 other names. Lineage: Bacteria; Pseudomonadati; Pseudomonadota; Gammaproteobacteria; Enterobacterales; Enterobacteriaceae.